RNAcentral lists this small nucleolar RNA (102 nucleotides) under Urocitellus parryii (Arctic ground squirrel). RNAcentral describes it as "Small nucleolar RNA U13 (ENSUPAG00010022891.1)". It matches the Rfam family "Small nucleolar RNA U13". The record is from Rfam by way of RNAcentral. Lineage: Eukaryota; Metazoa; Chordata; Mammalia; Rodentia; Sciuridae.
AUCCUUCGGUUCAUAAGUGUGAUGAUUGGGUGUUCACGCUCUUGUGUGAGAUGUGCCUCCCUCUAAACCUUGUUACGACAYCGGCACAUUACCCGUCUGACG